GCAACUCGCCUACAUGAAGUCGGAAUUGCUAGUAAUCGCGGAUCAGCAUGCCGCGGUGAAUACGUUCCCGGGCCUUGUACACACCGCCCGUCACACCAUGGGAGUCGGUAACACCCGAAGCCUGUAGUCUAACCGCAAGGGGGACGCAGUCGAAGGUGGGAUUGAUGACUGGGGUGAAGUCGUAACAAGGUAGC
RNAcentral lists this ribosomal RNA (194 nucleotides) under uncultured bacterium. RNAcentral describes it as "partial 16S ribosomal RNA". It matches the Rfam family "Bacterial small subunit ribosomal RNA", at positions 1307 to 1500 of the family's 1533-position model. The record is from RNAcentral.